This 178-nucleotide ribosomal RNA is filed under the name uncultured Actinomycetales bacterium. RNAcentral's name for it is "partial 16S ribosomal RNA". It matches the Rfam family "Bacterial small subunit ribosomal RNA", at positions 153 to 334 of the family's 1533-position model. Lineage: Bacteria; Bacillati; Actinomycetota; Actinomycetes; Actinomycetales. The record is from RNAcentral.
AAAACUGGGUCUAAUACCGGAUAGGACCAUGCUUUAGUGUGUGUGGUGGAAAGUUUUUUCGGUGUAGGAUGAGCCCGCGGCCUAUCAGCUUGUUGGUGGGGUAAUGGCCUACCAAGGCGGCGACGGGUAGCCGGACUGAGAGGUUGGUCGGCCACAUUGGGACUGAGAUACGGCCCAG